Long non-coding RNA from Magnolia sinica, 857 nucleotides. RefSeq lists it as uncharacterized. NCBI's taxonomy places the organism in Eukaryota, Viridiplantae, Streptophyta, Magnoliopsida, Magnoliales, Magnoliaceae. The transcript is spliced from 2 exons. The record is from RefSeq and is a predicted model, not a curated record.
UGAUCAUGGAGUCAAAGCACAAGGUGAUGGAUGGUUACUAACAAGCUUUAAUUGAAGGAGAGAAUUUUGCGUAUGUAAUUCAGAUGGGCUUUCAGACCCUUAUGUGGUUUUCACACGUGAUAGGAAAACUAGAACAGGCUCUGUCAAGCUUCAAGAAGAAAAGCAAUGGGCUUAUCUCCAAGCUCUAGCACAAGCCUUGUGUUAUGAGAUGAUCACUGUCAAUGGAAACACUGUCAUCUGGAAAAAGCCUUCUGAGGAUUCUUGUCUGCCUAGUAAAAAUGAAUUUGGGCUUGAUCUUUGUACUGAUCAAGAUGAUGAUCCGAGUGAUGCAUGAAAUCUAUAAUUCAACAAGCUGGAAUAAUGCAAAUUGGUUAACUUGUAGAGGUGGGGCAGGAUCAGCUCCUAAUUUCUCUGCAUAUUGGAAUGGGCAUCCUGAGUAUGCGGUAUAUUCGGCAAUGUCUUUCCUUGUCGUGACUCAAGAUCUUAAGCAAAAUAAAUCGGGUCUUCUCGGGUUACAUGAGGCUAGAGCGCAAGGAAACAGUUUGGAGAGCAGUUUAUAGAGAAGGCCAGGUGUUGUCCCAUGCAACUGGAAAUGAUUCCUGCUGAUAGCUAUUAAAAGGCAUUGAAUUAGGAGUAGAGGGAAAUCUCUACAGAGGGAAGCUUCCUCCCAAGACAUGGUCAGGAAGAUUCAAGAGGCAGCUCUCAAACUUGCAUAAGAAAGCAACAGAAAGCAGAACCUGGUGCAUAGUGUUAUUUGUGAAACCAAUGCUAAUGUUAUGUAACAGUUUAAUGUAGUUUUGAAAACUUUAAAUAGACUGUUAACUGUUUUGUUGGUAUUGUGUUUUUACAAUUGUUUU